Molecule: ribosomal RNA, 586 nt
Filed under: uncultured bacterium
Lineage: Bacteria
Description: bacterial SSU rRNA
Rfam family: Bacterial small subunit ribosomal RNA
Source: RNAcentral
CCUACGGGAGGCAGCAGUGGGGAAUUUUGGACAAUGGGCGCAAGCCUGAUCCAGCAAUGCCGCGUGAGUGAAGAAGGCCUUCGGGUUGUAAAGCUCUUUUGUCAGGGAAGAAACGGUAGAGGCUAAUAUCCUUUGCUAAUGACGGUACCUGAAGAAUAAGCACCGGCUAACUACGUGCCAGCAGCCGCGGUAAUACGUAGGGUGCAAGCGUUAAUCGGAAUUACUGGGCGUAAAGCGUGCGCAGGCGGUUUUGUAAGUUUGUCGUGAAAUCCCCGGGCUCAACCUGGGAAUGGCGAUGAAGACUGCAAGGCUAGAAUCUGGCAGAGGGGGGUAGAAUUCCACGUGUAGCAGUGAAAUGCGUAGAGAUGUGGAGGAACACCGAUGGCGAAGGCAGCCCCCUGGGUCAAGAUUGACGCUCAUGCACGAAAGCGUGGGGAGCAAACAGGAUUAGAUACCCUGGUAGUCCACGCCCUAAACGAUGUCUACUAGUUGUCGGGUUUUAAUUAACUUGGUAACGCAGCUAACGCGUGAAGUAGACCGCCUGGGGAGUACGGUCGCAAGNUUAAAACUUCAAAGGAAUUGACGG